GCCAGCAUGGCAUAGUGGUUUGAGCGUUAGACGACACAACUCUGGAAACCAAGGUUCGAUUCCUGGCUUGGCC
This is a non-coding RNA of Phrynosoma platyrhinos (Desert horned lizard), 73 nucleotides long. The record is from the annotation of a GenBank genome assembly. NCBI's taxonomy places the organism in Eukaryota, Metazoa, Chordata, Lepidosauria, Squamata, Phrynosomatidae.